UAUGCCGAUAUGCUGAACACGCCUCGACACUGGGAACCGAGCGAUUCUCUCAAUUCGCGCAGAUUCCCCCACCGAGUUCCACCUCUCCGAGACAACACCGGCACACGGAUAUUUAAGAAGGUCGCAAGCAGAAAUCAGUCAGUCCUGAACGACCGUUCUGGGCUCCAUAACCAGCCAAGCAAAGUGAGCGAGGCAGACCGACCUGAGUCGCGACGGGCACCGUAUUGACGUGAUUCGCAAACUUAGGCAGGCCAACUCGAGACGCAAGGUGUACCGAAGUGAGGUAAUUUGCGACUCGUAAUUCAACGGAGGCAAGCGUAGUGAACGCCCAUCCGGAGGAGGAAUUCGCUGGGACGAAAUAGAAAAUUGAAUUAUUAUAUUGACUUAUUUUGUACAUAAUUUAGAAUUAUGUAAUAUAUUUGCUUUGUUUUCAA
Molecule: long non-coding RNA, 434 nt
Organism: Diabrotica virgifera virgifera (western corn rootworm)
Lineage: Eukaryota; Metazoa; Arthropoda; Insecta; Coleoptera; Chrysomelidae
Exons: 2
Source: RefSeq, a predicted model, not a curated record